Molecule: ribosomal RNA, 308 nt
Filed under: Mycobacterium tuberculosis
Lineage: Bacteria; Bacillati; Actinomycetota; Actinomycetes; Mycobacteriales; Mycobacteriaceae
Description: partial 23S ribosomal RNA
Rfam family: Bacterial large subunit ribosomal RNA
Source: RNAcentral
CACGGUGGAUGCCCUGGCAGUCAGAGGCGAUGAAGGACGUGCUAAUCUGCGAAAAGCGUCGGUAAGGUGAUAUGAACCGUUAUAACCGGCGAUGUCCGAAUGGGGAAACCCAGUGCAAUUCGUUGCACUAUCGUUAACUGAAUACAUAGGUUAACGAGGCGAACCGGGGGAACUGAAACAUCUAAGUACCCCGAGGAAAAGAAAUCAACCGAGAUUCCCCCAGUAGCGGCGAGCGAACGGGGAGCAGCCCAGAGUCUGAAUCAGCUUGUGUGUUAGUGGAACGGUCUGGAAAGUCCGACGGUACAGGG